CCUACGGGAGGCAGCAGUGAGGAAUAUUGGUCAAUGGACGAGAGUCUGAACCAGCCAAGUAGCGUGAAGGAUGACUGCCCUAUGGGUUGUAAACUUCUUUUAUAUGGGAAUAAAACGUUCCACGUGUGGGAUUUUGUAUGUACCAUAUGAAUAAGGAUCGGCUAACUCCGUGCCAGCAGCCGCGGUAAUACGGAGGAUCCGAGCGUUAUCCGGAUUUAUUGGGUUUAAAGGGGGCGUAGGUGGAUUGUUAAGUCAGUUGUGAAAGUUUGCGGCUCAACCGUAAAAUUGCAGUUGAAACUGGCAGUCUUGAGUACAGUAGAGGUGGGCGGAAUUCGUGGUGUAGCGGUGAAAUGCUUAGAUAUCACGAAGAACUCCGAUUGCGAAGGCAGUUCACUGGACUGCAACUGACACUGAGGCUCGAAAGUGUGGGUAUCAAACAGGAUUAGAUACCCGAGUAGUC
RNAcentral lists this ribosomal RNA (460 nucleotides) under uncultured bacterium. RNAcentral describes it as "partial 16S ribosomal RNA". It matches the Rfam family "Bacterial small subunit ribosomal RNA", at positions 338 to 795 of the family's 1533-position model. The record is from RNAcentral.